CUUUUCUUUUAAUUUUUUUGGGUCGGUGAGCGGGAGGGUUUAGGAGAGCUGGAGGUCGCACGGUCGUGGAGGGCGGGGCGGGGUCGCGCGGCGGUGGAGGGUGAGGCGGGGUAGAAUAGCUACGCAAGCCCGUCCCGCGGCGGCGGCGGCGGUCGGUGAGCGGGAGGGUUAGGGUAGAGCUUGAGGUGGCGCGGAGGUGAGGGCGGGGCGCGGUAGAAUGGCUACGCAAGCUCGUCCCGCGGCAGCGGCGCGCACCGGCGCGCCGGUCAAAAGAAGAAACAGAUAGGCAAGACCCCCGCGAGCUGUAGCGGCACGGCGGCUAGACGGCCGAAGCGGCCUUGAGGCAAACAGUCGUAGAAGAGGUGGGGAACCACUACUCGCCGACUCGGUUCCUCGCCUCAGUCCGCGGCGGCGCGCAUGUACGGCGCAAGCACGCUCUCACCCCUGCCAGACUGUCCCCUACGUCUGAACCAACCCCUUGUUCUCGUGCGCUUCGAUCCUCGUCCCCGGCUAGCUACCCGUCGCGCUCCUGGAGGAUGACCAAGAUGUACAAGGAGAGAGACGGAUAGGUAAUGUUCGUAUCUCCACUUGAGUACCAACAUAACUAUCCACUAAAUUUCACGUCCCAACACUCCUUUAGUCAUAUUUUAGAAACAACAGCCUCAAGGGAACCUUGACGCGUCUUCUACCCCACUACCUAAGUCACAGUUCUAAGUUACUUCUAGGUAGACAAGCACCGGACGAACAAGUGGGUGAUGAUGGUGUUCGUUACAUAAAAUCCCAUACAAACCAAGAACGGAUAUCGACGGGACGGUUAUAACCGAACGGUUAAUAAACCUCACCCUAAGGUUGCGGGUCCCAACCGGUUUCUAAACCGUUCUUAGACACUUCCUUCGUUGUUACCUGAAACAACCGUCGGUUUAUAAACCGUUGUUUGGUUUGUUGUGUAUUCCUUAAACCGUACUGGUUAUAAAACCAUCCCAUUCAACCUCCGCAUUUGGUUUGUCCGGGAAUGAAAAGACCUACGUCGGGAUCUUUCCUUAAUACAAACCAAAUCAAGUAUCUUUCUAUAUAGUGUUUUAGGAAAAACAAAUGUAUGAUUGACUUAUUAUGCUUCAUAAAAUCAAGAGUACCAUUAUCUGUUCGUUGAAGUCAUCAUAAACUAAACUCAAAAACAAAAAUUCAUAUACAAACCAGUUCUAAGUUGAAAGAAAUACAGGUACAAAACGACCAUAUUACGUAGUAGUUCGAAACAAAAUAUACUACUGUAACACAUUUAGUCGUAUACCUACUCCUUUCAUAAGACUCGCGUCUACGAGCGGCGGCGGCGACGAAGACUGUUGCACACUCGGCGGAUUAGCUCGCUCCUAAGCGGCGAGUAGGAUUCUCCUGAGCGGCGAGAAGGUACUGCGGCGGCGACGUUGCGCCGCAACAAGGUCGUGGUUUAGCGUCUACGUAGAAACGUUUAGGUUGUUUCACCACCCUUAUAGAUGUUGUACUUCAAAGAGUUCGACUAUCCCGUAAGAAGACGUACAAACACUGUACUAGUACCACGUGUAUAUAAAUUAUCACUUCCAGAAGCCGAUAGUGAUACUUACCAAGACGACAACACAUUCACUAAAGAAUUCACAACACAACAUUGUGUAAUCUCAUUUUCUAAUUAACACAUACUUCUUAUUAUAAUGCCUCAGUCCGUGUUAAACUGGAAUCAAGACUGGUUUAAUUAGAAAUAAACAAACGAUCCAACACACAGUUUGUAGUGAAGUACAACAUCACGUAAAAAAGGAAAGUUUUAGGUGUAAUACGUUAAACCGAAAUAUUCUUCAAAGUGAAAUAAUAAUCACCUCUUGCCCUCUAUGCCUUUCCCUUCCCUUUUUGUCAUUAAGAUCGUUGAUCGGUAACAAGGCACCGUUUUGUGUCCACAAACAAGAUAAUACAAGUAGCCUUCAGAAAUGCCUCCUCAACCCAGACCCACUCACUGUAUAUAAACGAACUCCAGUGCUUAAGAAAAGACGACAAUGAACGUAGAAUGAACUAAAAAAAAAGAAAUUCAAGAAGUACAAAAGGGUAUAGCAGACGAGAUAUCUUCGACGAUGGAGUUUAAUUCAUUCACGUAGGAAGAAAAAACAGGUUCAAACAAGAUAAGAUAAUGAGUCUUCAGACAUGUUCUGACUCUCUGACUUCGUAUAAACGAACUCUCAACUUAAUAAAAACCUACAGUCCAAACAUGCGAUAUGACAAACUAAUUACUUUUGACUAUUUUCAUCACCGUUUGUGAACUAACUCAUUCGAUGACCUAAAAUGGUCAUUAUGUGUCAUCAAAGAACGUUAUAAUAGACGUACUGUUCUUUGUAGGUAUAAACUAAAACGAGACACUAACCAAGUUUAUAGUGAAAAACCCGAUUUCGACUAACCUAUGCUCAUCAUCACAGUUGUCAUUAUUGAACUUUGUACUAAAAUAGUACCGAGAUUUAAAAUAAUGACUACUAAAGAAAGUCCUAUAAACAUCUCCGAUAAGCGUGGCAUCAAGUUCCGUCUACUAUCUCAUGUCCGAUCCGUUGAGUGAAUAUAACCAUGAGCAAAUUUACCAAUAGAUAAGACGGCCGUAUCAAUGUACGGUAUAAUUAAAGUCUUCUUGUUAAAGAUUAAAUCACAACACGAACGUAAGUAACAAUACAGAUUUUUCUUUUAAGGUUUGUUUUUGUUUAUAUUUCAGUGUCAAACAGAAAUGUGUGACCUAUUACUUACAAAGUUAGCGCGAUUUAACUUGGUUCCGAAAAUCUUAUUUAACACCGGAUAUUCGAACACACAUCAGUUAAUGAUUUACACAUUAUAAUCGUGUAUAAUCGUGCUGAUAAAGAAUUCACGUCGGUCGGUGGUUAAAGUAAACUAAACUUAAUUAUAUAAUGAAUAUAUGAGUAAAUCUAUAAAUAAAUACAGGAGCUACCUAACUAAACUUGCGGCGUUAAAAUAAUGGGGUAACGUUGCGUGCCCGGGAAAACGAUCAUUAUUAUUUCGUACCUAACUGAAAUAGCCCAAGUGGCAAUGUUAUGCGAAAGAAGAGUACAGUAUUAUGCAAAAAUAUUAAACAUAACUGUUUUAGCAUUAUAUUUACUCCACCAUGAUUAUUGUACAAGCAUGCACCGGUCCGGCUCGGUUUAGGGGGAUCGGCGGCGGCGUGGUGAGGGCCUGCGCCGGCUGGAGUUGAGCGGGCGGCGGCGCCGACGUGGAGACGGGCGAGUGCUCGGAGGUGGGCGCGCGAGUCGAGACCCUGUGGGCGCUGCGUGGCGCGCGCGGGAGGCGACGGUUUGACGCGGCCGACGCGGCUGGCGGCGCGCGGCAGCCUACCGCCGCCACCUGGGAGAGAGUACCUCCUAAUGUGGCCGACGGGGCGCGAUCGGCUCUAGUAGGCGUAGGAGAGGCACUUCGCGGUAGCAGCGCCCUCCUGAAGCAACGGACCGAGCGGCUGUUGAAGUACUGCUCCGGGCGCAGGCGAAGAAGGGCACGCUGGAGGAGCUGCCACGGCGGUACGAGCGGCGGCCCGCGCCGACGAUGCCGUAGAAGGUGGAGCGGAGCGGGACGUGGCAGCUGGCGCAGGACCUGGGGGUUCAUGACGACGAGGCACUGGCAGGACGGCAAUAAGGAAGUCUCAAAUCUGGAGAGUCAUGCCCCACCGCAGACAGAGUAAAACACCAACGUCUUCCUCGCCCAUCGCGGCCGGCACCUUCCCUGCGAGGUACACGGAAGGAACCUCGGCCGCGGCUGGCCGGACACGGGGGAGGGGCGACGUGUUUUAAACGAAGAAACAGGGGUGAAACGACGUUUUUGAGACACGGAGACGAUGCCGGUAAGAAGCGAGGUACCGGAAGGUACUUAGAGUUGGGACCGUUGACCUCAUACAAUGGAAUUAAUGAACGACAUGUUGACGUCAUAAAGAUUUUGUUAAAGGUACCGAUCGUGAGUCCAACUUAAUGAUCGACUCAAAACGUAUAUACGUUAGUGAAAACGGACAAAAACCGGAAAGUGGGAAGUGAAAACUUCGUUACUUUAGAAAUUAGGACUUCUAUUAGAAGUCGCAAGUACAAGUUCACAAUAUUUGAGUCUAAAGUCACAAUUACACGUUUACAAGUAAUUGUGAUAAACUUUAGACUCUUGAUCUUUACGACUUUGGACUUUUGACCUUAGAGGUCAAUUGACUUAAAAACUUGUAAAUUAGAACAGAUUGAUAAACACUCCAAAUAACCACAAAGGUCAUCUAUUUUGGAUUGGGAUACAUAAAUAUUUACCUCGUCUUGACAUAAAUAUUUUGAAGUCUCUUAUAUAACAACAGAAGGAGCAUAAGAAAAUAAUGACCUCGGUGGUAUGUUUUGAGAGACCUCGUCUUGACAUAAAGUUGAUAUUUACUGUCCUUGUCUUGAAAAUAUAUAAACAACACUCAUGUUGAACUCUCUCAAAGUCUCUUUAUUUUCUUUCGUUGAUUUUGAAGUCUCUUAUAUAACAACAAAUAUAUUUGACUUAUAAUACAUGACAGUUAUAAGUCUUCGUGUCUUAUAUAACAACAAAUCUAUUUGUGUCGACGAACGACCAUAGAGGUGAAAAGUCGACCCGAAACGUCAAUAGAGUCAAAGAUAGAAAACAACCGGUCUACUAAGGCGGUUCCUAGUUACGAUCGUACCGGUACAAAGAAGUGAACUUCCCACCUGGUAUCACCGAAGUGACGACCGCCUUGCCGUCUCCCGAACCGACGAUGGUCCCACUAAGUUUCCCUCAUAUAUCCAUCUCAAAAACGUCGGAGAACGUGUUUGUACUAAUUACCAUCGAAGAUAAGGUACUGUACUAAAACGUCGAUAUUACUAUACAAAGUACGCUCUCCUGUAUUUGAACGUAGUAUAAAAAGACAGGUCAAUCAAGGUUUAAUGUUACAAACACGAUAGUCAUGUUAAGCCACCUUAUUCUGCUCAGUAUAUAUGUGGGUUACAUUCGAAAGUGUAGUCGGAAACGAGAACUAACAGAAACGUUCAGGUACCUAUAUUAAAAAUCCUAAAAGGAAAUGAGUAUCGUUCACUACUUACAAAACAGGAAGUUGGGAAAUCCACAUUUAUGUACACUACACCGAUCGUUUCAACCAUUGUGCGUGUCAUAUUGGUAAUACUAGACGUGUCCCUAUAGUGGAUCCACGUAUUUUGUAUUAGUAAGUCAAAAAUAAACCGUUCGACCUCGAUGGGCCUUGAAAGCUAAACCACGGUUCUACCUACCUAAGUUGAUUCACUGGGUGAUAGUCCAGUAUUUAGUAAAGAAAACAACUUCCUUCUCUGAGGUAAAAGACAGCUCCUGGCUUACCGUGAUUGGUUAGCCGAAUGAACCAAUCUUCUUUAACUCUUUCCCCUCGUAGAAUGUGGAUUAUCCUUCGUCACCAGAUUAGGAUUAGAGUGGGUUAUCUGCAUGUAAUGUUGUUUUAAAAGAAUGUACGACGGCGGAUAUAAAAAAGUAAUGAUUGUAUUGGAAAAAUCUAGUGGGCGUUUUUUUGGGAAAAGUCUAGUUCACACAGAACGUAAUGUAAACCAGUUGAUAUGACGUUGAAGUUUGGUAUUACGGAGACAUACAACUGACAUAAAAAACCUUAACUUAAUACAUAAGUUUCGAUAACAAGUCGUAUCUGUGGCAAAUUUUUAGUAUGUUCCCCGUGUGUUUUACAUAUACAUGAGAAGACAAACUUAGAGGGGGAUUAUUAUUUCGUGCCUAACCCAGAAGCCCAAGUGGCAGCGCCGCAAAAACGUUUCUUCAGGGACACGAAAAACUAUUAAUUGGACGUCAUGUCAAAACUGACCACUUGUUUCCCUUUUGCAAAGCACAUAACCGAACCCUGAGCCGAACCGGAAAUCCCUUUUUUAUAUCGUGCCGCCGGACAGGAGAGACUCAUGCGUGUUGUCGUGCCCAGGAGAAGGACCCCUGCCGUGCCGUCGCGGCGGUACUUAGUUCGGCGGCGCGCGCCGGCCAUAUGGAAAGGGCGAUGGGAGGUCGUGGCGCCGGCAACGGGAAAAGAAGGGGAGGAGUGGGCGGGGUUGAGGAGUGGGGGUCGGAGGAGCCGGAGUUGAGCCUGCAGAGGCUAAACCUAUCCUAAGCUGCAGCGGUGCGCGCCGGCCAGAAGGAGAGAUCGAUAGGAGGUCGUCGCGGCGGCAACGGGACAAGAAGCGGAGGAGUGGGCGGGGUUGAGGAGUGGGGGUCGGAGGAGGCGGAGCUCCUCCUGCCGAGGCUAAACCUCGAGUUCAUGACGGAGGACUGUGGAGGUAGGGGUUCAUGCAGGAGGGCAGUCUGCUCCUGCUCCACGCAUGAGACGAAAAAAGAUGACCGAUGUUCCUGUUUAAAUUCUAGAACUUAAUUUCCUAAGAUUCCAACUUAUCUUCCCCCUUGUCUUUCUUACCCAUCGUUAAACAAGCCCCUAAAAUAAAAAACACGGUUGGAGAUUAUAGGGGAAGAGACGGUACCUAAACCUACGAAACGUCUAAACCUAACCCCGCGUUGUCUCUACUCCUUCCUGUUUCGUACUUAUCGAGGUCACUCUCACUUGCCUAUACUUGUGGUGUUGGGAGAGUCCCCAACAACCGACUAGUCCUAUGGGUUAAGAGUUUGUUCGUACGACUCUACGAGUUCUAUACCUUCAAGCGGGUGUUCGAGCUGGCGGUCCACUUGUACAGUUUCCACGUCUACCUGUACUACUUCGGCACUUAACAGUGCGUUCAGUGACUCGAAGAACCCAAGCUUUUUGAUGGAUUGACGAUAAUAGGACUUAAAUCAAAAUAGAUUUGAUUCUCCUGGUGUACACGAAGAGAUUGUUUCUUAAUGAGUAAACCACAAGAAAACGUGACGACUAAAAUCAAGUUUAACCACACUCACGCUGGAAAAACAGUACAACCUAUUCCGAAAGACAUAGUGUACCUACACUGGACAUCAUACCACAUCUUUUCACUACUUUCCAUAAUCAAACUUAAUUAAACCGUCGUUAUCAAAUAGUUCAAAAACGGUUCGGUCGAUAAACAUCUUAAAGACGUCGACAUGAAACACGGUAGAGGGAGUACAUCUAUAUAUAUAUAUAUGAUCGUCUGAUCGUGCAUUUAAUAAAUGUAGUUUUGACUCUGUAUAGAUAUAUACUACCUCCGUAAAGAUCCGUAAAAAGAUAUCAUGGGCAACGUUGCGUGCCUGUAAACACGAUCAUAUACAGAUAUUUACCUAAUUGACUCGGUUUCCGCCACGGAAAAAGUAUGCUUAUAUACACAUGGUGUAGAAAGUCUAUUAGUAUAUACAAACGGCCGUCUAAUAUAUACGUAAUUUGAUGUUUUAAAUAAACACGCUGAACUAUGGUCUAUAUAUGUCUAACGUACAGAGAAUCCCGUAGAGGUUACGAUUCGCGGUCACCACCUGUGAUCCCAUCGACCUCAUAAAGGGCUAUCUAGCGGUCGAUGGAAUCAACAAGGGGCGGGGCGCAGACUACGGCGUAAUAACUACGGUUAUCUACGUAGCUCGCGAACGAAAAAGGGACCUGUACACUCAUUUAUUUGAUCCUCGGCCGGGAUGCAUAAAUCUCGGGCACUAUUCGCAGAUCGUAAGCUCUUCUUCCGUGAAUGAAAAAAAAACUACAAAAAAAUGAGAUCCGAGGACGUGUUCUCAUCGUAACAUCUACGGGAAUUCGAUAUCCGAGAGUAUCAACAAAAUGGUUAGUGUUUAUUCGUUGGUUACUCCUUUAUCAUGUUUAAAUCUCGUGUUAUGUAGUACUAGAUAACCUUUAAUGUACAAGAGAUAAAUUGUAUAGUUGGUCAGUUUCACCGGUAGAACGUAACUGGAACUUUCACACUAAAAACCGGUCUGGUCGCUUGCUCCGUUCGUCCAACUUGAGUUUAAAUUCGUAUAUCAAUUAGGUCGUACUAGGUGAUUUUUUAUUCAAUUAGCUCGUGCUUUGUCAUGUAACUCAGGCUCGAAACAACUGCCGGGAUGGCCGACCUCCAUUUGUGUAUGAAAAAGGAAAAAUAUAUAUUUUAUUUUAUGAACAUGAUUGCAAAUAAGGUACGUAAAAGUAUGUAAUAAGUUGUAAAAAACGUAAUAAGUUAAUUCAGUAAGAAAAUUAAUUAUAAUAAUUCCAUUCCAUCCUUAUAUUUUUUCUUAAUAAGAAAAAGAAAGUAACGUUGUAUCAGUUACAAAAGAGGGCAACGUUACGUGCCCAGAAAACGAUCAAAUG
Molecule: ribosomal RNA, 8230 nt
Filed under: Triticum aestivum (bread wheat)
Lineage: Eukaryota; Viridiplantae; Streptophyta; Magnoliopsida; Poales; Poaceae
Description: partial small subunit ribosomal RNA
Source: RNAcentral